RNA transcript from Dendrobium catenatum, 5486 nucleotides. RefSeq lists it as uncharacterized. The transcript is spliced from 12 exons. Lineage: Eukaryota; Viridiplantae; Streptophyta; Magnoliopsida; Asparagales; Orchidaceae. The record is from RefSeq and is a predicted model, not a curated record.
ACCCUUAAAAUUUAUUUGAUGGAAUGAAAUGGUACUUUUGGAGAGACGCAACCUGUUCACAGUUAACCUACCUAUUAAUUACUGGAUUAAGUAAGAGGGGUUUGAGGUUUUAAGCUUGCAAACCCACGGAAAACCAUGAAGGUCGGCCGAUUCCGGCGCCGCCACGCCUGAGCAGAUCGCAUCCACGGCAUAGAAGACGGCCCCCCGGCAUCGCCCUAAAUCCUUAUGCACAUGGAAGUCCAACUCGCAUCAAAAGUCUCUGAUAUCUUUAAUCUAGUUCUUACAAAACCCUAACUACUCGUGAAUUUGUUCUGCCUUUCCUACGGUAUAGGGACCAUGGCGGAGAAUGUACAACCUAGUUCCCCUAAUCCUUGCUGCGCCCUGUGGAUAAAAAGGAGCCAGAAGCUGGAAAAGAGCAGGGAUGCUCUCCGACAAAGCGUGAAGAUCCUGGAGGGACAAAUAGAGAAGCAAAGCGUCGAGAUUGCUUCUCUUAAAAAAGGGGCUGAGAAUCAUAAGAUGCAACGGGGGCAGCUAAAAGAUGAAAGUAAAGAGGCUAAUAUAAAAAAGGAUCUGGAGAAACAAAUUGUAGAUUUGAAGGUCAAGAUAUCUUCAUUGGAGAAUAUUAGGAGCUUGAAGAGUAAUGAUGAAGAUGAGCUUGGGAUGCUUAAAGCACGUAUUUCAGCAGGUCAGGAAGAAGUAAAAAGUCUUAAAGAGCUUCUUGAGAAGGAAAGAAGGAAAGCUGAUUCUGAGGGUAGAAAAACUGAGUCAGAGAAAAAGAAAGCAACAGAAGCUUGGAAGCUUUUGAAAGAUGAGAAAAAGAAGGCAGAUGAACAUAAAUGCCUUUUGGAGGCUGAGAAGAAGAAAUCAGAAGAUUUAAGACUAUGUUUGGAAAAGUUGAAAGUUGAAGCUAAUGAAUUGAGAGAAAAAUUGAGUGCAGAGAUAGCGAAAAGUUAUGAUGCAAGAAAACAGAUUGAAGUUGAGAAGCUGAAAGCACAUGGAGAAAAGAAGCGUGCUGAUUCCGAAAGGAAAAAGGCUAAAAAACAAAAGAUGCUGAUUGAAGAAGAGAGGAAAAGGGUUCUUGAUCUAAAAAAGCAGGCAAAUGAUUCAUGCCAGAUGUUGGAGGAAGAAAGGAGGAAGAGAAAACAAAUUCAGAAAAAGUUGGAGGAUUUGUCUGUUGUAUGUAAUUUUGGGGACAGAGAAAGUAGUGUCUGUAAAGGUCUGACAGCUGCUGAACUGAAGCUUUUAAAGAAGCAGCUUAAGUUAGAAAGAAAGCGGGUGAAGCAUGCUGAAAGAGUAGCUAAGCAAGAAAAAUAUGAAAAAAGAGUUGUAGUACGAGAAGUUCACCUCUUAAAGCAGAAUAUCAUGCAGAUUCUUUAUCGUCUUAACAUGCUUGAUGGUCUCGUUUCUCAUAAUGUGGGAAUUACUGAUGAUGUCCAAAAGACUUUGAAUUAUCCAGAUUUGACAUGCUUUAAACUGAAUGACUUACUAUGCUCAAUGAAAGAUGAUUUUGAUUCACAUGCUGAAUUUGGAGCAUCAGAAAUUCAGUAUGGGGAUCCAUUCACCUAUGCUAUGCCAUUAGGCGAAUGCAUGGGUCUUCCUGUAUCGAGAGGAUGCUGUAGCAAGCCAAAAACAGGUAUAAAUUCUGAGUUGGAGUCUCCGGUUGGAGGUUCUCUCAGAAAAAAGUCACAAAGUUCUGCAGUAUGUUCUACUAGCAUACAUUUUUCUGAUAGAAAGUUAAUGGGCUCACAGGGAAGAGAUUCUGUUGUUGAGAUCUCUACAACCAAAUUAGCAGAGAAAGCAAAGCACGAUCUAUCCAUUGAGAAAUUUCCCAGUGAAGCUGCCCAAAUUGGAAUGCUCAAAGGUUGUCAGGUUGGUGCAAAAGAUACUGUUGGAAGCACUGCUCUGAAUGAAGUGGAGAAACCAUGCUCUAAUUCAUCUACAUAUAAGGCUGUUGCUCAAGUGAGUGCCAAUAGUUCAAAGAAGAGAAAGAUUGAAAUUUGCACCAAAUCUUUACGUACUGAAGAUAAAUUGCAUCAGGUAAAUAGAGAUAAAGUGACAACUGUGAAUGAUCGAAUGAGAAAUUUAAAGCAGGUUUCAUUGGCAAAUUGCUCCCAGAUUCCUGCAGCAUUCGAUAUUGAUAAUGAAAAAUUUUCCCAGAAGGAAGGUCAAAGUGACCCCUGUAAAAAUAAUUAUGAUCACAUCAAGAAGAUAGCCUCUACCUCUCAUCAAACUGAAAAAUCAGCCGUCAAACGCGGUGAUAGGAAGAAUGCUGGUAAAUCUAUGUCCAAAUAUAGUUUGGAACCUUGUUGCGUUCAGGCAGCUGGACCAGUUUCUUCUAGCAUUGACCUAGGAGUGACUUCUCUUAGCAACAAAAAAUCUUCUUUAAGGAGUUUUGAGAACAUGAUAAGUGGGGGAUGUUUGAAACUGCUUGAGCUGGACAAUUAUUCUGAUGAGGUUAGGUUCAUGAAUGCUUUGGAGGUGCCUCUUUCCCCAACUUUGCCGGAAAUCGUGAUUCCAAACUUCCAACUUGAUGGAGAAGAUAUCUCUUAUGCUGUGAUGGUAAGGGAUAACCCAGUGCCUCCUUGUUCGUUCAAUAUCAUGGAUUUGGAGAAUGCUUCCAUCAAUUCAAAAUCGAAAAUUGUUACCAAGAAAGAAUUGUCAAACAACAACACUACGCAACAUGAUGUUUUCCAUGAUAUCACACGGGAUACUUGUCUAGCUGAUAAUAGUGAGUCAAUUAUUUUUGAGCAUGGUUAUGAUCCCAGGGAACCUAAAACAAGGUCGGAUCAGAAAUAUCAUGGUUUAAAGCACUUUCCAGCAGAACAUAAAAAGAUUGAGCUUGAAGUGGUUCCUGUUUCGAUAGUUAUUAACGAUACCUUCUCAAGGGGGUAUGAGAAAUCACAACCAUCACCUGAUGAAAUUGGUAUAUUUUCAGAGCCAUCACAUUCCCAACUAUUUCAUGAGUGUGGCCACUCUGGAAGUAGUGCAAUAGAUAAUUCUGAUUCGACUAGCCAUUUAUCUUCAUGCGUGGUUAAAUUAAGUAAAGAACUUAGAGGUUGUCAGCAAAUGAAUUCAGAUUUUAUUAAAAAUCAAUCAGAAGUUAAAACAGUAAUUGACCCUGUUUUUGUUCAGGGAUUAAAUCGAACACUUCCCUCUGAUACAGAUAAAUUAACUAAAGGAAACAGCCUUACCAGUGCAGAAGAAGGCACGGAACAUAAUAUCCAACAGAAAUUGGAGUCCGGUUUGAUGUCAACAGUCCCCAACAUCUCAUCUUCAUAUCCUGAUUCAAAAGUAAAAUCUCCCUCUAAAGAUGAAAAUUAUCCUGGAAGAAUUAUCCGUUCCUUUACUUCAUUUUCAAGUGCUAGGAAUACGGACAGCAUGUCUAGAAUUAUUUCUUCUUUCAAUUCUGUUACACCCCAAAACUUAAUGGUUUCCAAGACAGACUUACUGAUUGUAGAAGUCCUUGAUGGAUUGCAAUUAGAAGAUCUCCAAUCAGAGGAGAAGGUUGCAGUUUUCUUUUCACUUUUGCUUGCCAAUUUAUCUGAGAGGAUGUCAGAUCAUUGCAAGCACAUCGUGGAUGAAGAUUCUUUCCAGUUCUUGGAAUCAUUUUCCAUGGAGAUAGUCAGAGCUGUUUCUUCUGGAAAGACGAAAUAUGUUUUGGAUCAAACGUUUCACUUAGAUAUCCUUUUCUGUCUCAUGGAGAGUUUUCUUAUUGCAAGGGAAGUUCUAGUAAUUGGUGAUGUAAAGCAGCACUCAUCAAGCUUUCCUGCCUUUCCGGACUGUAAAUUUCACCUGGAUGUGGGAAAUAACUGCGUGCUCUCUCAAGAUGUUACAAUUAGUCAAUUUAUUGCUGGCUGUACUGUAUUAGCGUCUAUUUGUGUUGCAGCUGAUGAUAUUGGCGUCCUACUAGUUUUUUCUCAUAAGCUACUGCAGACGUUUCACAACGACAUCACUUGGGUUUUGCUAGCUCUUCAUGUUUUUGCUAAUAUUUUUGGGAAGAGGUUUUUCAACCUGGAUAACUACAGUUUUCUUGUGACCACUAUAAAAUCUGUGGUUUUGCUUCUUGAGGGAAGGCUUAAAUUGGUUUCAUAUCCACCGCCUUGCUGUCUUAAUUCAACAUCCAGGAUGGUUGUAGAAUUUGCACCAUGCAAGCAAUGCCCAUUUGCCGUGGAUGCUAUAUGCAUGGAGAAACUUUUAAGCUUUCAGUUGGAUGCUUUAGAAGAUUAUAGCUUCUCUGGUGACGACCACUCAAAUACAAUUAAGUAUUUUGUUUCUUUAAACGGAUCAGCUCCUACAAGAGAUACAGAGGAUAAAGAUUCAAGUGAUGCUAAAAGCAAAUUUGAUGUCCAGUGCGAUGCUUCUUGUGCUAUCUUUAGGUACAGAGAGCUUGCUGGCAAUCAGCCAGAUAGACGUUCUGAGGCAGUUUUUUGUGACUUCAUAGAUAUUAUUUCAUUGGUCGAAUUGGUGGGUCACUACAUGGGCUGGGAGUGGAUGUACAAUGAAGCAGUGCCUCGUCUGUUGAAAAUGCUGGAAGCUUGUGUUUGCGAGGAGUUCUUAGCUGCUCUUUUUGUAUUAGUGGGCGAACUAGGAAGACAUGGUUGUAAUUCUGGCGGAUAUGAGCAAGCAGGAAUUGCAGGACUGAGAAGUAGGAUGAUCAAGUUGCUAGACAACCUCAUUGCUAGGAAAGCAAGCUUUCCAACUCAAGUUGCCGCUGUUGUUGCUAUGUUAAAUCUUCUUCCUUUAGAAUUGGAAGAUAUUAUCUCUGAGCAUCGAGAGAUUACUCUGGACUCAAGUGAAUCUCCCUACAUCAAACACAUACAAGAAUGGUUUUUCAAGUUAAGCGGGGAGCAACAGUUGGCAUUAAAAUCUGUUUUUGACAAUGAAAAUCAUCUAAGAAGCACCACAGCAAUUGAAUCCACCUUGAGGUCACUCAACGAGCUUAUUGAUUUUGUAAUAGUCAUAUUUCAUCAAAUCAGCUCGGAUGAGCCAUUCAUUCCAUUGCCUACAAAUUCUUUUGGGUUGGAUUGGUUCAGCUUCAAGUUUUGAUUUUCGUUGAAAAAUGACAUUGUAGGCAGCAUAACCCAGAACUAGAAUCUUAUUGCAUCAGGCCCAGGAACAUGAACCCCAUUGGAUCAGGGAACUUUGAUACUUUAUCAGAUCUGAUUCUGCAAGGCCGUUGAUAACAAUUUGGCACAAAUCUCUCUAGCCCUGGUGAAUGCUUCCUACUCAUCCUCUCACUGUUAGCAGCCUAAUUAUUUCGUUCAAUUGUUUACAUGUUUUUAUAGAGUUUUUAGAACAUUUAUCAUAUGAAAUGCUAUUAUAUUAGAGUAAAAAUUAAUAAUAUAUUUGGUCUGAGAAAACCAACUAGGCUUAUUCUUUAUUCAUCGAUCAGAUUUUAAUGAGGUGGAAUGCUCUGCUAUUAUAAUUUGCGUUUAGCAAACAUUGGCUUGUUCUAUACGUGGUUAGCAACUUUUUCAAUCCUUCAA